GAUGAACGCUGGCGGCGUGCCUAAUACAUGCAAGUCGAGCGAACGGACGAGAAGCUUGCUUCUCUGAUGUUAGCGGCGGACGGGUGAGUAACACGUGGAUAACCUACCUAUAAGACUGGGAUAACUUCGGGAAACCGGAGCUAAUACCGGAUAAUAUUUUGAACCGCAUGGUUCAAAAGUGAAAGACGGUCUUGCUGUCACUUAUAGAUGGAUCCGCGCUAUAUUAGCUAGUUGGUAAGGUAACGGCUUACCAAGGCAACGAUGCAGAGCACACCUGAGAGGGAUCGGCGCCACUGUGAAUGAGAGACGGGGUCGAACUCCUACGGAAGGCAGCAGUAGGAAAUCUUCCGCAAUGGGCGAAGGCCUGACGGGGCAACGCCGCGUGAGUGAUGAAGGUCUUGGGAUCGUAAAACUCUGUUAUAAGGGAGAAACAUAGGUGUAAGGAACUGUGCACAUCUUGACGGUACCUAAUCAGAAAGCCACGGCUAACUACGUG
RNAcentral lists this ribosomal RNA (496 nucleotides) under uncultured bacterium. RNAcentral's name for it is "partial 16S ribosomal RNA". It matches the Rfam family "Bacterial small subunit ribosomal RNA", at positions 28 to 507 of the family's 1533-position model. The record is from RNAcentral.